GAUGAACGCUGGCGGCGUGCCUAAUACAUGCAAGUCGAGCGAAUGGAUUAAGAGCUUGCUCUUAUGAAGUUAGCGGCGGACGGGUGAGUAACACGUGGGUAACCUGCCCAUAAGACUGGGAUAACUCGGGAAACCGGGCUAAUACCGGAUAAUAUUUUGAACUGCAUGGUUCGAAAUUGAAAGGCGGCUUCGGCUGUCACUUAUGGAUGGACCCGCGUCGCAUUAGCUAGUUGGUGAGGUAACGGCUCACCAAGGCAACGAUGCGUAGCCGACCUGAGAGGGUGAUCGGCCACACUGGGGACUGAGACAGGCCCAGACUCCACGGGAGGCAGCAGUUAGGGAAUCUUCCGCAAUUGGACGAAAGUCUGACGGAGCAACGCCGCGUGAGU
Molecule: ribosomal RNA, 389 nt
Filed under: uncultured bacterium
Lineage: Bacteria
Description: bacterial SSU rRNA
Rfam family: Bacterial small subunit ribosomal RNA
Source: RNAcentral